CUAUACAUGACUCUGCGCAUAUCAAUAAGCGGAGGAAAAGAAACUAACAAGGAUUCCCUAGUAACGGCGAGUGAGGCGGGAAGAGCUCAAAUUUGAAAUCUUCAAGGGUUUACCUUGACGAAUUGUAGUUUAAAGAGGUGUUUUCUGUUAGAGAGGUUCGGUAAAAGUUCUUUGGAAUAGGACAUCAUAGAGGGUGAGAAUCCCGUAUUUGAUCACUUUAUUUACAACUGUGUGAUACACUUUCAAAGAGUCGGAUUGUUUGGGAAUGCAGUCCAAAAUGGGUGGUAAAUUUCAUCUAAAGCUAAAUAUUGGCGAGAGACCGAUAGCGAACAAGUACCGUGAGGGAAAGAUGAAAAGAACUUUGAAAAGAGAGUUAAACAGUACGUGAAAUUGUCAAAAGGGAAGCGUUUGACACCAGUGUUGUUUUUCCGAAAAUCAAUUACGAAUGUUUUAUUUUUGAGAAGUUAUGACUUCAUCGGCUUGCUCCUUUCUUUACGAAACUUUCUUAAUGCACUUUUCGGUUAACAAGUCAACAUCAAUUUCUUUUGUUGUAAAAGGGUAUGAGGAAGGUGGCUUUCUUUUCGGAGAAAGUGUUUAUAGCCUUGUGCCUCUGCAAUCGGAGAGAUUGAGGUCUGCAGCGUAGAUCCUUCGGGGUUAGAUACGUUUGUGCUAAGUUAUAGCUUUUCAUAGACAACUUGUUGACUAUGUUUAGUCUUGUAGCUUACUCGCUGACGCUAUUUUACCUACGCUUAGGAUGUUGAUAUGCAUGACUGAUAU
RNAcentral lists this ribosomal RNA (777 nucleotides) under uncultured Neocallimastigales. Its description in RNAcentral is "partial large subunit ribosomal RNA". It matches the Rfam family "Eukaryotic large subunit ribosomal RNA", at positions 22 to 643 of the family's 3401-position model. The record is from RNAcentral. Lineage: Eukaryota; Fungi; Neocallimastigomycota; Neocallimastigomycetes; Neocallimastigales.